UACGAAGGGUGCAAGCGUUACUCGGAAUUACUGGGCGUAAAGCGUGCGUAGGUGGUGAGUUAAGUCUGUCGUGAAAUCCCCGGGCUCAACCUGGGAAUUGCGAUGGAGACUGCAAGGCUAGAAUCUGGCAGAGGGGGGUGGAAUUCCGCGUGUAGCAGUGAAAUGCGUAGAGAUGCGGAGGAACACCGAUGGCGAAGGCAGCCCCCUGGGCUAAGACUGACGCUGAGGCACGAAAGCGUGGGGAGCAAACAGG
This 253-nucleotide ribosomal RNA is filed under the name uncultured bacterium. RNAcentral describes it as "partial 16S ribosomal RNA". It matches the Rfam family "Bacterial small subunit ribosomal RNA", at positions 524 to 776 of the family's 1533-position model. The record is from RNAcentral.